RNAcentral lists this ribosomal RNA (253 nucleotides) under uncultured bacterium. RNAcentral describes it as "partial 16S ribosomal RNA". It matches the Rfam family "Bacterial small subunit ribosomal RNA", at positions 524 to 776 of the family's 1533-position model. The record is from RNAcentral.
UACGAACCGUGCGAACGUUGUUCGGAAUCACUGGGCUUAAAGGGCGCGUAGGCGGGCUGCCAAGUCUGGGGUGAAAUCCCACGGCUCAACCGUGGAACUGCCUCGGAUACUGGCGGCCUCGAGGGAGGUAGGGGCGUGCGGAACUGUGGGUGGAGCGGUGAAAUGCGUUGAUAUCCACAGGAACUCCGGUGGCGAAGGCGGCACGCUGGACCUUUUCUGACGCUGAGGCGCGAAAGCCAGGGGAGCAAACGGG